CGACACCGUGUCCUUAGCAACGGUCGCGUCUCUACGGCAACAUCCUCCGAUGUCCCCUACCGCUGCGUUCACCGUGACUCUCCGCCGCUUCCACUCGGGUGAAGUGGUGUUUUUUGGGGGGUGGGUGGGGGGGGAUCCGAUCGAGCGCGAGCGCCCACGCCAGCUGCUGAUUGUGUCUCGCGACUUCAGCGCCUAAAGUUGGUGUGCAUGCGCGGCAACUUGGCCACGAGGACGCGCCUCCGUCAUUGAUCGUCCCUUACCGGCACAACCCGCAGCCGCAGCCCCCAGGUGUGCCACGGCGCGUGGAGUACAAGCAGGCCCCACAGAGGAGGGAAGGACCUGAGGAAGAGUGGACGCAUUGUCAGAAAAGCCUGAUAAAAGAGAGGAGCCAAACAAAGACACUUAACCUGAGUAACCUGAAGCACAAUUGGCUCUCAGAGUUGCAGCAAGUUAUGCAAAUUUGUCUCUGCUGUCUUUCAAACACGCCGAAUGUGAGUUUUGGAAGCCAAAUCCACCAGAAGAUGAAAUCUUUGUUCAUGUUGCAUUAAGUCUCAACUUCUCUUUGAGCUCUAUGUUUGUUCCCCCAAAUAAAAACCUGUCUGAGGCUUUUUGGUGAUGGGGAAGUCUUUAAUUGCAUGACUCAACACAACCGCUGUUAAUUACUGUCAGCGAAGGGAGGGAGCAGAGGGUGUUGUCUGGUCGACGUGGCGCAGGGGUAGAGAGGGUGCGCCGGGAACCGCAAGGGUGGCGGUUCGAGCCCUGGCUGCUUCAUGUCCAAGUGUCCCUGAGC
Molecule: long non-coding RNA, 790 nt
Organism: Gasterosteus aculeatus aculeatus (three-spined stickleback)
Lineage: Eukaryota; Metazoa; Chordata; Actinopteri; Perciformes; Gasterosteidae
Source: Ensembl